Long non-coding RNA from Solea solea (common sole), 830 nucleotides. RefSeq lists it as uncharacterized. NCBI's taxonomy places the organism in Eukaryota, Metazoa, Chordata, Actinopteri, Pleuronectiformes, Soleidae. The transcript has 3 exons. The record is from RefSeq and is a predicted model, not a curated record.
AGUGUCGCUGCUUAACUACUGAAAGUGUUCCGGGAGAAGGGAACUUGUGGCGUUAACGCACCAACCGCCCUAAAAACUCAAAAAAGAAGGAGGGAACUUUUAAAAAUAAAGAAGAGAAAAAUAAAACUAACGUGGUGUGACGUCAGACGCCGAAAAGGUGACCGCGUGCAUCAGCGAAACCCAGCAAGGCGCUCCAGGGUGGCGUGUUCGACCUGGUCCAGAUUGGUGACCCGUCCAGAAGUGGAACAACCUGCUUCCUGCUCACGGAGACCCGGUCGGACCCGCCACAUACAAAAGCCUGAGGCUGUCAAAAAAAGAUUGAUCUUCAUGAAGAUCGUCAAAGAGUAGGUGUGAUUAUUUAGAUCUGGGUGGCCGCUGUGUCCCCACUCUUUCUUGGCCGCUGUGCCUACAUCUCUCUGGAUUGUCCAACAUGGCCACGUUCUCUCUCUUCUCCUGCUUUCCAUCUGUCAUAUAGCUGAGGGUUGUACAUGGAGCAUUUGCCACAGGUUGGUUUUGUAUAUUCCUGUCCACUUUAUUUGGUGGUCUGAUCUGGUCCUUGUUGGUUAUGUUUUUGUGGAACUGCUGAGCAAAUGUGAUUUGAAAGAAUGAGGUCACUGAUGGAGUGUUUGAGAUUCUCUCUCUAAAUGAAUGUGUUGUGUGUGUGUGACUGGGAUGCCUGGAUUGAAUAGUUAAGAUGGUCUGAGAAUGUGAUUAUGUUCAGCAGUUCACAUUAAAGUAGAUCUGGUGUCUAGAAGGGCUUAGAUGCUUGACUAACAUUUCCUUUUUAGGUCUGUCUACAAAGGGUGAGUCCAUAUUUUCUUAUUUCUUCU